CGCACCGAGAGACUUCACCGAACCCAAAGGGCGUGCGCUUGCUCUCUCCGAAAACCACAGCGCUGGCUACUGAAACCCCUGAAAUCAGAAAUACUCUAACCAAAGGAUGAAACAGGGAGAAGAGAGGCGGUGCUGGGGAGGGAAUCUACUUCUGAAGUUGUCCCUGGGCUUCCAUUGUUCAGUGUUCCUCCUGGGAAAAAAUGACUUCAUAUUCCACACUGCUUCUUCUACUUCAUGCCCCUUUUUAACAGCUCUGAUAUAGUUGCUUCAUUUGUUCAUAUGUUGUGUUACAGGAACUGCAAAUAUAAAAUAAAAUUCCCCCAAA
Cebus imitator (Panamanian white-faced capuchin) is the source of this 325-nucleotide long non-coding RNA. RefSeq lists it as uncharacterized. The record is from RefSeq and is a predicted model, not a curated record. The transcript has 2 exons. Lineage: Eukaryota; Metazoa; Chordata; Mammalia; Primates; Cebidae.